AGUUAAGAAGAUCCAAACAUACCACCUCUGUGAAUCCCUUUGGCCAGCUGUUGUAGUUCAGAGGUUGUGAUUCAGAGGUCAUGAUUUACGAAGCUCCCGGCACAAAUGAGAGGAGCGAUUAAAUCCUUGAGCAGAAACGGUCAUAAAAUGUGGUGGAGAAAGGCUCCACGUCUGACAGGAGAAGAUAGUUUCAUCUUCUUCUGAGGAAAGCUGAGGGACUGAAAUAUGGAAAUGCCACCAAUUCCUGAAAAUGUGGUACAUCACGAUGCCGGUAAUACACGCUGGGCUCUCCUUUCUGCUUUUUGGAUGCUGCCCACUUCUGAGCAUCAGGGGCAGAUGAGAAUUUCAGAGAAAGCAAUGAAGAGAGGGAGGCAGGGAGGGAAAGUUUUCCCUACCCUCAGCAGCUGAGUACGAAGUGAAGACCGUGGAGCGAGCAGGAGCCUUUACUGCGCUCACCUGACCUCAGCCCAGACCAGGGGAUGGAGGGUUCUGUGACUGGGCAGAGGCAGGACAGCCCUGG
Camelus dromedarius (Arabian camel) is the source of this 520-nucleotide long non-coding RNA. RefSeq lists it as uncharacterized. The transcript is spliced from 5 exons. The record is from RefSeq and is a predicted model, not a curated record. Lineage: Eukaryota; Metazoa; Chordata; Mammalia; Artiodactyla; Camelidae.